AACCAUUUGUGAAUCUCCUUCUCCCCUAAAUCUCCAGCCACCACUCCGGCAUCGAAAAUAAACUUCGGCACCACCUUUCACUUCACCGGCCUCCCUUGACCAAAACCCCUAUCAUCCCUACCGAAGAUCACCCACCAAUCGCCAGUCGCCGCUCAUCUAGGGUUUGCACUCUUCAAACCAAUUUUCGAUCGAUUUCGGCAUCACAAAUCUAUCCCGACGCCACCUUUCACCUCACCGGCCUCCCUUGACAAAAACCACUAUCAUCCCCACUGAAGAUCACCCUCUAAUGCAAUGUUUGAACUUGUUUUCUGGUGCUCCAUGUGACAUUGUUGGUGAUGUUAGCUAUGAAGAAUUGCGGGCAACAGCAUAUGAUGAUGCUAAGCGUGGGUUGGGCUUGCAGUCUAUAGUUGAGAGAGAAAGGAAUUUACUCAAUUCCAAGUUAAUUGAGUUUGACAAUCUUCUUUGCAAUCCCUACACAGGGCCCGUCAACCCUGGUCUUGCCAGCCAAAGACAAUUUCUUGUGGCCACUCAAAGCGAACACUCUUCGACCCCUCAAAACAAUGCCCCUCCUUCAGUUUCCAGUUUUAGUCAACUAGUAUCAUUGGUUAAUAUGGGGUUUGGAACGAGAACAGUUAAUGGCUGAUAGGAAGAUCUUUUUAUCUUUAACAAAAUUAAGCAUCUCACUUCCUGUCAUCUGAACAUAUGGAAUAUCAUUUCCAUGCUGGAACUUGCUAAGUGCAUUUCUAACCCAUCAUGUGCUGCUAAUGUUGCUUGCCUCUAGACCUGCAACAAUCAGCCUGAUGAGACUGAAUGCCAGAUUCAAUGUGGAGACCUGUUUGAAAAUAGUGUUGGAAUGGUCUGAAAAAGGGUCCCAGUAAGGUGGUUUGGCUUACGAGAGGAAUGGAUAGUGGGAAUAGUAGCUUGAUUGGCGUAUUUGUUUUGGAGUUUGUUUGAUGGGAGAUUGAUUAUAUUGGGAGUGUUUGUGUUGUUUGAUUAGUUGUAAUGUUUUCCAGCCUUCCCCAUGCAUCCAGCCAGUCAGUCACCAUAUCCACCUGAAUAUGUUCUAUGCUCACCACCUGCUCAACCAUUUGCCAAAACCAAAACCAAGGAAUAAGCAAGCAAGCAGUUGCGCCGCAAGUAGCUCCCAGUGCAUGUGCGUCUCCUCCCAACGCC
RNA transcript from Pistacia vera, 1173 nucleotides. It is a transcript of the gene named zinc finger CCCH domain-containing protein 16-like, with no coding region annotated. The record is from RefSeq and is a predicted model, not a curated record. The transcript is spliced from 5 exons. Lineage: Eukaryota; Viridiplantae; Streptophyta; Magnoliopsida; Sapindales; Anacardiaceae.